GACGCGGCGACGUGGGCGGUUCGCCGCCGAUGACGUCGCGAGAAGUCCACUGAACCUUAUCAUUUAGAGGAAGGAGAAGUCGUAACAAGGUUUCCGUAGGUGAACCUGCGGAAGGAUCAUUG
RNAcentral lists this ribosomal RNA (122 nucleotides) under Eugenia modesta. Its description in RNAcentral is "partial 18S ribosomal RNA". It matches the Rfam family "Eukaryotic small subunit ribosomal RNA", at positions 1695 to 1831 of the family's 1831-position model. The record is from RNAcentral. Lineage: Eukaryota; Viridiplantae; Streptophyta; Magnoliopsida; Myrtales; Myrtaceae.